Molecule: long non-coding RNA, 516 nt
Organism: Dama dama (fallow deer)
Lineage: Eukaryota; Metazoa; Chordata; Mammalia; Artiodactyla; Cervidae
Exons: 3
Source: RefSeq, a predicted model, not a curated record
GAGGGGCUGGAGAAAGAGGAGAGGCUGAGUCCCUAGUUCAAAGUGGCCUGUGUCCCCUCUGCUGUUUUGUACAUUGAAUGACGGCCAGAAAGACGCCUCCAGUUAUCUGCUGUGGACAGGCAGAAAAAUCUAGGAGUAGGGUUGCUGGCUCGUGGGGUAACAUGGUUGGGUCUGACAAACAGCUGCCCAGAUGGCUGAUCCUGCGGCGUCACACCUUCCUGAAUUUGGGAUACUGUCAAUCUUCCAGUGUGGACUCUUCCUGUGUUUGUGCGGUGGGAUUUCAUUAUGGCUUCCAUUUGAAUGUCCCCGCUGGUUAAUAAGGAAACAUUCUGACCAGGCCAACCAGUGAAUGGCUGCAGGAAAGAAGAAAUUAACACAUUCUGGUCAUAACCAAGACUUCCUCCCUCCCUUUUAGUAUAAAAGAAGCCUGAACUCUAACUUGGGGAAGAUGGUUAUUUGGGACACAAGUCCAUCAUCUUCUCAGCCUGCUGACUUUCUGAAUAAAGUUGCUAUACU